AGCUACGCAGCGGGAGGCAGAGGACGGGGCUCUCUGGCGUGGGCUCGCCCCUCCAGCUGGCCCAGGAUUCCGACCCGGGGAGGCUGACCACUCGGGUAAAGAAGAAAUUCAGGAACUGGCUCCGGGUGGCCGGCACUCCUGGAGGCCUCUGAGCCUUCUUCUGUUGCUGUACCUGUGGCUGGACCAUUUCCCAGAAACGGUGUGGGGACAUUUCUGAGGACGUCCUCUCCGGCCGCAGUGGGGACAGUCAACGACCCCGCGCUCCUUGCCCACGCCGCUCCCUGGAUCCGCACGCCGGGCCCUUCGGAUCAGACCGGGGCCAUCUGCCCCGCUUUCCCGGGAGGGGUCUGCGCCCGGAGAGGCGGAGGCCGGGCCCCGCGUCAGUCACCAGCGAGGCUGGGGUGGGCCCCGCCGGGAGGCCGAGGGUCACCGCGAGGGCGAGAGGGGACCCCGCGGGUCGGGCGCUGCUGGGAGCGCGCGGCCCCCCCCCCCCGCACCCCG
This is a long non-coding RNA of Mustela erminea (ermine), 501 nucleotides long. RefSeq lists it as uncharacterized. The transcript is spliced from 3 exons. The record is from RefSeq and is a predicted model, not a curated record. NCBI's taxonomy places the organism in Eukaryota, Metazoa, Chordata, Mammalia, Carnivora, Mustelidae.